RNAcentral lists this long non-coding RNA (2301 nucleotides) under Nicotiana tabacum (common tobacco). RNAcentral's name for it is "long non-coding RNA (NTAB_LNC008684)". The record is from RNAcentral. Lineage: Eukaryota; Viridiplantae; Streptophyta; Magnoliopsida; Solanales; Solanaceae.
UUUUUUUUUUGGUUUCCUUCUCCUACACAUCCAGCAUAAUGCUACCAUGAAGUUAGUAUUUUAGUACUUUUUGUUUUAAUCUUAUCCUAUGAUAAUCAAAUAUUUAUGUUAUUGCUAUGGUUUGGUGUUUGUACUUUGUAAAUAUAAAAUUACCAAGAUAUUGUUCUGGGGCUUGAUCAAGUUGUUCUACACGUCAGUUCUAAAAGAUUAAAACACAAUCUUAUUCAGUCCAUUCAUAGGAGUAACAAUCAUUUCCAAUUUGUCGAAUUAGAUCUUGUAAAGCCUUUUGAAUUGGCUAUGUUAUUCAAGUACAUUCAUAGAAGCAGGAUCAAGUUUCUACACAUACUACUCCAUUAAAAGUACCCUUAGUUUGAGUUUAAGGCAGCUUUUAGUUUCUCAAACUUCUUGAAACCUUCUGCAAGUUUCUCAGAUUCUGGUAUGAAAUCCUUUACUGCUUUGUUUGCACAAAAUCUUUCAGUCCAUGCCACUAAUUGAGGAAUCUUGUUUUCAUCAAAUAUUUUUGUGGAAGUUAAAUUCUCUUCAGCUUUAAGCCAUCCCAAUAAACUGCCAAGAACAAUGUCUAGGUAACCAAUGCUAUCUCCACCAAAGAAAGAUUUGGCUUUGCUACAACUGAUAAAAGCUUCCUCUAGCAGCAAUGUCCCUUCGACCACUUUGUCUCUCGCCGCUGCCUUUGCUUCUUCUCCCUCUGCCUUCCUAUACUCUGCUGUUAAAGGAAACCACUGCAUACAAAUUUCUUGAUCAUUUAGAUGACAAGCAGACGUGGACCCAAGAUUUGAAGAUCGCCGGUGUACUUUUGGAUUCAACCAAAAACUGCUUUGUAUAUAGGGUACCACUGCUAAUAUAUCACUAUUUUUUAAAAACAUAUACAUGUAUACAUGGAAUUUUUGCCGAACUUUACGGGUGCCAAUGACCCCUCUUGCUAUAGCAUAGGUCCACCUCUGAUGACAAGAUAAUUAUCAACAUGAAUAGGAAAAAACUAUACAUCUGAACUCAAAAAGGACCUGCUUGCAACUUCACAUCAAAAUCUUUUGUAGCUUCAGCAGGAAAGUUAUGAAGAUAAAAACCUCUACUUGGACUCAAAUAGCAAAAACAAAAAAGAAAAAUGAGCAAAAUAGGCUGUUUUUAUAAUGAAUACUUACUUUUUCAUCAAUAUAGGCUGCCCAAAACCGGGCAAUGGCACAUUCAUAAGGAUCAGAAGGAAGAAUGGAGGGACUAUUAGGCCAGGCUUCAUCGAUAUAUUGCACGAUGAGGAGAGACUCACAGAUAGGCUUUUCCGCAUGGAAGAGAACUGGGACUUUCUUACUAACAGGGUUUGAUUUGAGGAGAAGCUCACUUUUCUUGAACGGAUCCUCUUCAAUGAAUUCAUGGUCGAUGGACUUCAAGCUUAGAGCCAUUUGAACCCGAUUCACAAAAGGACAUCCGUUUCUUCCCAGAAGCUUUACAUUGCUGGUUGCCAUAGCCAACUAAUGAACUAGGAAGUAAAGCAAUUUAACACAGAAUUAGGCACCCUUUUAUGAUGGUCUAAUGGUCAUGGACAGUUUUGGAGUUAAAUAUGCCCCCUUAGACCUCUUCAGAUAAACAAUGCAGGAAUCAACAAGAUUCUCUUUGCCGGCGAAAACAAUAUUAAGCAUCUAUGGCGAACAAAUUAAUCAUAAAGACGGCAAGCUGUAUCGCUAUAUGUGUCAUGAAUCUAGUUCUUUUUCAUUUUUGGCCUAUAGUUUUUCAUAAUUUUAGUGAAUCACAAGAUGAGUGGAAUCUGAAUCUUCAAUUAUAGUCGGAUAAUAAGCUAGUAAUACUAUAAUCUGAAUCUUCAAUUAUAGUCGGACAUUAUACACGUAUAUAAGAGAAAAAAUGAAAUCACUUUUUACCAUCACCACAAGAGUUAAUUCCUUCUCCUAACUUAAUCUUCCCUGCUGCUUAAGGCACCCUAUCAAGAUUUUUUCCAUACAUUCCAGCUCUGUUAUUGUUAGCCAAUUUCUGAAUUCAGUUCGAUAUACAACAUUUUCAGUUUCAAAAAACUGAAACAAACAUCAAAUAGGCACCAGUUAGAAUUAAUCAACACACACUAGUUCUUGGCUUCAAGCACUCAUUUCUGAAUAGUUAAUUUAUUACAUAUUUUAGGCUCCUUCAAAUAUCAAAAUGUUGUUCUCAUAAUAUAUCCUCUUAGCUAGAGAUUGAAAAUAGUUACCAAGACUUGAAAGUCUAAAUACAUCUUGUAAGAAGAAGACGGUACGGAUUUAGCUAGAUGCUUGGGCUCUAAUUUUGGCCAUAAUGACCUUA